Molecule: long non-coding RNA, 352 nt
Filed under: Physcomitrium patens
Lineage: Eukaryota; Viridiplantae; Streptophyta; Bryopsida; Funariales; Funariaceae
Description: long non-coding RNA (PPAT_LNC004771)
Source: RNAcentral
AUCUACACCAUGGUCUCUUGCAAUAUUACAUGACUAUCAACUAUCUCAAGUAUCUUAAAAAACUCUAAAAUCUCUUCAUAUAUUUGCGUUAAAUAAAGCUCCACAACAAUAUUAACUCUAUUUCCAUCUAUAUGCAAAGUCAAUCCUUGUAAAAUCUUUACAUAAUCAUCUUCAAAUCCUUCUUCUUAAAUAACACCCAAAAUGUACUCACCACUUGAAAUCAUACUCAAUCCUUUAAAAUUUUAAUUAUGUUUCUUCAUCUAAUCUUUAUACAUAUGAUCUAAAUUUUCAACCUUUUGAAAUCUCAAAACCCUCAAAGUUGUCAAAACCAAAAAUCCACACUCAAAGCUAU